Molecule: long non-coding RNA, 126 nt
Filed under: Monodelphis domestica (gray short-tailed opossum)
Lineage: Eukaryota; Metazoa; Chordata; Mammalia; Didelphimorphia; Didelphidae
Description: lncRNA (ENSMODG00000047924.1)
Source: RNAcentral
AUGAGGAAAUGGAGAAAAAAGAAAUUAAGUGACUUGCCCAAGGUCAUCCAUCUAGAGACUCUUUUUCUCAUGGCUGAUCUGUCUUUGCCACUGUUUCUGAUACGACUCCUUUAGAAGCCAAUAAUU